GAUGAACGCUGGCGGCGUGCCUAAUACAUGCAAGUCGAGCGAACAGACGAGGAGCUUGCUCCUCUGACGUUAGCGGCGGACGGGUGAGUAACACGUGGAUAACCUACCUAUAAGACUGGGAUAACUUCGGGAAACCGGAGCUAAUACCGGAUAAUAUAUUGAACCGCAUGGUUCAAUAGUGAAAGUCGGUUUUGCUGUCACUUAUAGCUGGAUCCGCGCCGCAUUAGCUAGUUGGUAAGGUAACGGCUUACCAAGGCAACGAUGCGUAGCCGACCUGAGGGGGUGAUCGGCCACACGGGAACUGAGACACGGUCCAGACUCCUACGGGAAGCAGCAGUAGGGAAUCUUCCGCAAUGGGCGAAAGCCUGACGGUGCAACGCCGCGUGAGUGAUGAAGGUCUUCGGAUCGUAAAACUCUGUUAUUAGGGAAGAACAAAUGUGUAAGUAACUAUGCAGGUCUUGACGGUACCUAAUCAGAAAGCCACGGCUAACUACGUG
RNAcentral lists this ribosomal RNA (497 nucleotides) under uncultured bacterium. RNAcentral's name for it is "partial 16S ribosomal RNA". It matches the Rfam family "Bacterial small subunit ribosomal RNA", at positions 28 to 507 of the family's 1533-position model. The record is from RNAcentral.